UCGAGGAUCUUCGGCAAUGGGCGCAAGCCUGACCGAGCGACGCCGCGUGUGCGACGAAGGCCUUCGGGUUGUAAAGCACUGUCGCGGGGGAGGAAAGCCGCAAGGCCUGACCGACCCCGGGAGGAAGCACGGGCUAAGUUCGUGCCAGCAGCCGCGGUAAGACGAACCGUGCGAACGUUGUUCGGAUUCACUGGGCUUAAAGGGCGCGUAGGCGGGCGGCCAAGUCAGGGGUGAAAUCCUCCGGCCCAACCGGGGAACGGCUUCUGAUACUGGUCGCCUCGAGCGGGGUAGGGGCACGCGGAACUUCCGGUGGAGCGGUGAAAUGCGUAGAUAUCGGAAGGAACGCCGGUGGCGAAAGCGGCGUGCUGGACCCCCCCUGACGCUGAGGCGCGAAAGCCAGGGGAGCGAACGG
This 412-nucleotide ribosomal RNA is filed under the name uncultured bacterium. RNAcentral describes it as "bacterial SSU rRNA". It matches the Rfam family "Bacterial small subunit ribosomal RNA", at positions 355 to 775 of the family's 1533-position model. The record is from RNAcentral.